AGGGGUUUAGGUUAACACUAGACCACGGGCCUUCAAAGCCCUAAGCGGGGGUGAAAAUCCUCCAACUCCUG
This 71-nucleotide transfer RNA is filed under the name Benthosema pterotum (skinnycheek lanternfish). Its description in RNAcentral is "tRNA-Trp". It matches the Rfam family "tRNA". From Rfam's summary of the family: Transfer RNA (tRNA) molecules are approximately 80 nucleotides in length. The record is from RNAcentral. Lineage: Eukaryota; Metazoa; Chordata; Actinopteri; Myctophiformes; Myctophidae.